AUGCCCACUUCAGCAGCACAUAUGCUAAAAUUGGAAUGACACAGAGAUUAGCAUGGCCCCUAUGCAAGGAUGACACACAAAUUCAUGAAGCAUGCUAUAUUUUU
Chlorocebus sabaeus (green monkey) is the source of this 104-nucleotide small nuclear RNA. The record is from Ensembl. Lineage: Eukaryota; Metazoa; Chordata; Mammalia; Primates; Cercopithecidae.